Molecule: long non-coding RNA, 423 nt
Organism: Balaenoptera ricei (Rice's whale)
Lineage: Eukaryota; Metazoa; Chordata; Mammalia; Artiodactyla; Balaenopteridae
Exons: 4
Source: RefSeq, a predicted model, not a curated record
UCAGGAAACCCUGCUUCAUCUUUCACCAAGAGCACACAGUCUCUCUCUACACAGCUCCUGGCCUUGGAUCAGUCCACAGAAGCCUCGUGUUCCUCCAGGAUCCCAGAGGCUCAAGGCUGGGCUGGGAUCAGAACACAGCAGGUUUCAGACUCAGGGGCACAGGAUCGGCUUUCGAGGGAGGCCCUGGUAUGAUUUCACUCCCAUCACAGAUUGUGUGAGAGGAAGGGCCAGCACACAGGCAGCCUGAACCCUGAGCCGGAAGCAGAGAGGACAAGUGGAUGGAUGUCACGGACCACCGUGUGGCAUGAGGGAUCUCAGUUCCCCGACCAGGGAUCGAACCUGCGGCCCCCUGCAGUGGAAGCGUGGAGUCCUAACCACUGGACCGCCAGGGAAGUCCGGUAGCUCCUGUUAAAACAACGCUUG